AAGACUAUACUUUCAGGGAUCAUUUCUAUAGUUCGUUACUAGAGAAGUUUCUCUGAUCGUGUAGAGCACCCGAAACCACGAGGAGGAGGCGCAGCGUUCUCUCCUGAGCGUGAAGCCGGCUCUUGGUGUUGCUUCUGCAACUGCCAUUUGCCAUUGAUGAUCGUUCUUGUCUUCCCUUGGGAGGGCAAGAGGGAGAGGACGCAGUCUGAGUGGU
RNAcentral lists this small nucleolar RNA (214 nucleotides) under Myotis brandtii (Brandt's bat). RNAcentral describes it as "Small nucleolar RNA U3". It matches the Rfam family "Small nucleolar RNA U3". From Rfam's summary of the family: Small nucleolar RNAs (snoRNAs) are involved in the processing and modification of rRNA in the nucleolus. There are two main classes of snoRNAs: the box C/D class, and the box H/ACA class. U3 snoRNA is a member of the box C/D class. The record is from Rfam by way of RNAcentral. Lineage: Eukaryota; Metazoa; Chordata; Mammalia; Chiroptera; Vespertilionidae.